Molecule: ribosomal RNA, 492 nt
Filed under: uncultured bacterium
Lineage: Bacteria
Description: partial 16S ribosomal RNA
Rfam family: Bacterial small subunit ribosomal RNA
Source: RNAcentral
AGUGAACGCUGGCGGUAGGCCUAACACAUGCAAGUCGAACGGCAGCACAGUAAGAGCUUGCUCUUACGGGUGGCGAGUGGCGGACGGGUGAGGAAUACAUCGGAAUCUACUUUUUCGUGGGGGAUAACGUAGGGAAACUUACGCGAAUACCGCAUACGACCUACGGGUGAAAGCAGGGGAUCUUCGGACCUUGCGCGAUUGAAUGAGCCGAUGUCGGAUUAGCUAGUGGGCGGGGUAAAGGCCCACCAAGGCGAGGAACGGUAGCGGGUCUGAGAGGAUGAUCAGCCACACUGGAACUGAGCCACCGACCCUACUACUACGGGAGGCAGCAGUGGGGAAUAUUGGACAAUGGGCGCAAGCCUGAUCCAGCCAUCCCGCGUGGGUUAAGAAGGCCUUCCGGUUGUAAAGACCUUUUGUUGGGAAAGAAAAGCAGCAGGUUAAGACCCAGCUGUUCUGACGGUACCCAAAGAAUAAGCACCGGCUAACUUCGUG